Molecule: long non-coding RNA, 253 nt
Filed under: Heterocephalus glaber (naked mole-rat)
Lineage: Eukaryota; Metazoa; Chordata; Mammalia; Rodentia; Bathyergidae
Description: lncRNA (ENSHGLG00000039427.1)
Source: RNAcentral
GGGUGGUUUGGAAGGACAGAGGCUCAGCUCAUGGGGAACUCUGGGAAGACAGGAGGAAGACAAGGGCCGGGGUCAGGGGAGCUUGGCAGGGCUCCAGCGGCUCCAGGGGGCCCCAGCUCCUUGCACUUCUCCCCCAGCCAGUGGAGAGUUCGGAGUUCCGUUUCUGAAGCUUAGAGCUUUGUAAGGGAGCUGUGUCCCAGUCCGCAGUUCAUUGUUGGUGGAGCCACACGCACAGAUGUCUGCCAGGGCGACC